UACGUAGGGGGCAAGCGUUGUCCGGAUUUAUUGGGCGUAAAGCGCUCGCAGGCGGCUAACCACGUCAUGCGUGAAACACCCCGGCUCAACUGGGGAGGGUCGUGUGAUACGGGUCAGCUUGAGGCCAGUAGGGGGAUGCGGAAUUCCGGGUGUAGUGGUGGAAUGCGUAGAGAUCCGGAGGAACACCAGCGGCGAAGGCGGCAUCCUGGACUGGAACUGACGCUCAUGAGCGAAAGCGUGGGGAGCGAUCCGG
This 253-nucleotide ribosomal RNA is filed under the name uncultured prokaryote. Its description in RNAcentral is "partial 16S ribosomal RNA". It matches the Rfam family "Bacterial small subunit ribosomal RNA", at positions 524 to 776 of the family's 1533-position model. The record is from RNAcentral.